Molecule: non-coding RNA, 112 nt
Filed under: Foraminifera environmental sample
Lineage: Eukaryota; Foraminifera
Source: RNAcentral
AUAAAAUAAUUCAAAGAGAAGGAAAUGAAUAUGCUGUCUUGAAGAGACGACGGAAUGAAAAGAAGGUUGUUGUGUGUUUGUUUUUUUUGUUUUUUUUGUUUUUUUUUUUUUU